UUACGGCCAUAUCACGUUGAAACACUGGUUCUCCUGCGAUCACCAACGUUAAGCAACAUUCAGCUUGAGUAGUACCAAGAUGGAUGCCCCCUUCGGAAUACCAAAUGCUGUAAG
Acanthosepion pharaonis is the source of this 114-nucleotide non-coding RNA. The record is from the annotation of a GenBank genome assembly. NCBI's taxonomy places the organism in Eukaryota, Metazoa, Mollusca, Cephalopoda, Sepiida, Sepiidae.